RNAcentral lists this ribosomal RNA (458 nucleotides) under uncultured bacterium. Its description in RNAcentral is "partial 16S ribosomal RNA". It matches the Rfam family "Bacterial small subunit ribosomal RNA", at positions 338 to 795 of the family's 1533-position model. The record is from RNAcentral.
CCUACGGGGGGCAGCAGUGAGGAAUAUUGGUCAAUGGGCGAGAGCCUGAACCAGCCAAGCCGCGUGAGGGAGUACUGCCCUAUGUGUUGUAAACCUCUUUUGUCGGGGACCAAAAGCUGGACGUGUCCGCCGGUGAGAGUACCCUAAGAAAAAGCAUCGGCUAACUCCGUUCCAGCAGCCGCGGUAAUACGGAGGAUGCGAGCGUUAUCCGGAUUUUUUGGGUUUUAAGGGUGCGCAGGCGGAUUUUUAAGUCAGCGGUAAAAUAGUGGGGCUCAACCCCAUCCAGCCGUUGGAACUGGGGGUCGAGAGUGUGCGAGAGGUAUGCGGAAUGCGUGGUGUAGCGGUGAAAUGCAUAGAUAUCGCGCAGAACCCCGAUUGCGAAGGCAGCAUACCGGUGCACAACUGACGCUCAGGCACGAAAGCGUGGGUAUCGAACAGGAUUAGAUACCCGAGUAGUC